Molecule: ribosomal RNA, 122 nt
Filed under: Perkinsus chesapeaki
Lineage: Eukaryota; Perkinsozoa; Perkinsida; Perkinsidae
Description: partial large subunit ribosomal RNA
Source: RNAcentral
AUGUCAAUCUUGAUGAAUGCAGAGAAGUUGUUUAUGAGUCUCGCGAUUGCUUUGGUCUCAGAAUUGUUACUAUAACACGCUUGUCGGUUUGCACCAUUGGCGAUAUGUCAUCAUUAGAAGGC